CCUACGGGUGGCAGCAGUGAGGAAUAUUGGUCAAUGGGCGCGAGCCUGAACCAGCCAAGUAGCGUGAAGGAUGACUGCCCUACGGGUUGUAAACUUCUUUUAUAAAGGAAUAAAGUGAGGCACGUGUGCCUUUUUGUAUGUACUUUAUGAAUAAGGAUCGGCUAACUCCGUGCCAGCAGCCGCGGUAAUACGGAGGAUCCGAGCGUUAUCCGGGUUUAUUGGGUUUAACGGGAGCGUAGAUGGGUUGUAAAGUCAGUUGUGAAGGUUUGCGGCUCAACCGUAAAAUUGCAAUUGAUACGGGCAGCCAGGAGGACAGUUGAGGUAGGCGGAAUUCGUGGUGUAGCGGUGAAAGGCUUAGAUAUCACGAAGAACUCCGAGUGCGAAGGCAGCCUACUAAACUGCCAUGACAUUGAGGCUCGAAAGUGUGGGGAUCAAACAGGAUUAGAUACCCCAGUAGUC
Molecule: ribosomal RNA, 459 nt
Filed under: uncultured bacterium
Lineage: Bacteria
Description: partial 16S ribosomal RNA
Rfam family: Bacterial small subunit ribosomal RNA
Source: RNAcentral